UUUUUAAGAUUGUUGAAAUUUUGCUAGAUGUCUGCAAAAAUAUUAUUUUUUUUACAACUAAAGAACUUGACGCUGGUUUCGAUGCUCAUUUUCAAGCGUAUGAAAUUCAUAAUGAUUUUAUAAAUUGGCAUCUCAUUUAUUUGGAUCAAGCUGAUGGCACGUGUUCACUAACACAUCAGCCUAAUGGCAAAAAAUAUAUUUGUUACCGACCAUAAGCUAUAUUUUUAAUUUAUUUUUUAUUAUUUCUUAAUAUUAAGUUUAAAGUAAAAAUCAUGUUUUUGCAUUUUAAAUACAACAUUAAUAACUUGUACUUACGAUCAUUUUUAUUCAACGGAAACCUUGUAUUUUCAGAUUCGCAGCGCUUUACUACAAUACGAAACUGUAAUAAAUACUCUACAUGAGUUCAAUUUUUCAACUGCUCUUUUUUCCGUCAUAAGUCAGUGGGUCCUGAUUUUCUAUAGAUUUUCUUAGACGUUGAUCCUCCAGCUAAAACUACUGUCUCUAUCAAAUUCUCGAGUCUUUGGAGACAUCAGAGAAGUCGUUUGGAAGAACGCUAGCAUGUGAACUUACUGUAUAUUGAUGUUCAGUCACGAGCUUAAUCAUUUUGAAAAGCUUCGUGUACUUUCGCUACGUACGGGAGCAGCCGAACUCGCUACUGACUUGAAUGUCAGAAUAGUGCCGGGUCACUCGCUAUCUGGGCCCGACACCUGCAAUUUCUUGCUCAUAACCGUGCCACGUCGGCAUGAGAACCCGCUACCAGCCGGCCAAUCAGAGAAAUUGGCGGCUAACUAUUUCCUGUUGGCGCGCUUUUAAGCCAAUGGGAAAAUUCGUUACUGCAGCCAUGCUGCCACGUCACCACCGAGCAGCCACGAAGGAAGAAGACGACGUCUCUAUUUCCAAUCUACAUCGGGCAGUCUUACUAACCGCCACGCGUUUUUAACCGCUUUACUUGUCGCAUUCGCUAUCGCUUAUCUAUGUAGUUGCAUUCGCUCUUAAGUAUUUUUCUUACAGUUAUUCAGUGUACAUAUUGUUAAAUAAAGAUCUAUUCUAUUAUCUGUAAUUUUUGUGUUAAUUGUUAGUUAUUGAAUUUACCACACUUACACCAGAAUCCCAAAGUACAUUCGCUCAUUUAACAAUUGAUAAGAACGUCAUUGGUGUCAAAUCAAAAUUAAAAUCUAAAUUAGUGUAUGAGUUUUUUAAUUAAGGACAUUAUUACUUAUUUAUGUAUG
This is a long non-coding RNA of Microplitis mediator, 1229 nucleotides long. RefSeq lists it as uncharacterized. The transcript has 4 exons. NCBI's taxonomy places the organism in Eukaryota, Metazoa, Arthropoda, Insecta, Hymenoptera, Braconidae. The record is from RefSeq and is a predicted model, not a curated record.